Molecule: ribosomal RNA, 362 nt
Filed under: Staphylococcus epidermidis NIHLM015
Lineage: Bacteria; Bacillati; Bacillota; Bacilli; Caryophanales; Staphylococcaceae
Description: bacterial SSU rRNA
Rfam family: Bacterial small subunit ribosomal RNA
Source: RNAcentral
UUUUUAUGGAGAGUUUGAUCCUGGCUCAGGAUGAACGCUGGCGGCGUGCCUAAUACAUGCAAGUCGAGCGAACAGACGAGGAGCUUGCUCCUCUGACGUUAGCGGCGGACGGGUGAGUAACACGUGGAUAACCUACCUAUAAGACUGGGAUAACUUCGGGAAACCGGAGCUAAUACCGGAUAAUAUAUUGAACCGCAUGGUUCAAUAGUGAAAGACGGUUUUGCUGUCACUUAUAGAUGGAUCCGCGCCGCAUUAGCUAGUUGGUAAGGUAACGGCUUACCAAGGCAACGAUGCGUAGCCGACCUGAGAGGGUGAUCGGCCACACUGGAACUGAGACACGGUCCAGACUCUACGGGAGCAGC